Molecule: small nucleolar RNA, 63 nt
Filed under: Paramormyrops kingsleyae
Lineage: Eukaryota; Metazoa; Chordata; Actinopteri; Osteoglossiformes; Mormyridae
Description: Small nucleolar RNA SNORD42 (ENSPKIG00000013299.1)
Rfam family: Small nucleolar RNA SNORD42
About the family: snoRNA U42 is found in intron 3 of the ribosomal protein L23a (RPL23a) gene in humans and is also present in mice. U42 is a member of the C/D class of snoRNA which contain C (UGAUGA) and D (CUGA) box motifs.
Source: RNAcentral
CUGUGAAUGAUGUACACUUUAAGUGUCUGAAACGUGAUGCUUUCAAAGGAACCACUGAUGCAG